RNAcentral lists this ribosomal RNA (530 nucleotides) under uncultured bacterium. RNAcentral describes it as "bacterial SSU rRNA". It matches the Rfam family "Bacterial small subunit ribosomal RNA", at positions 8 to 526 of the family's 1533-position model. The record is from RNAcentral.
AGAGUUUGAUCAUGGCUCAGGAUGAACGCUAGCGGCAGGCUUAAUACAUGCAAGUCGAGGGGCAGCGCAGUGUAGCAAUACAUGGGCGGCGACCGGCAAACGGGUGCGGAACACGUACGCAAUCUACCCAAAACUGAUGAAUAGCCCUCCGAAAGGAGGAUUAAUACAUCGUAACUUAAGGAAGUGGCAUCACUAUCUUAAUAUAGCUCCGGCGGUUUUGGAUGAGCGUGCGCCUGAUUAGGUAGUUGGCGGGGUAACGGCCUACCAAGGCGGCGAUCCGUAGCUGGUCUGAGAGGACGAUCAGCCACACUGGGACUGAGACACGGCCCAGACUCCUACGGGAGGCAGCAGUGGGGAAUCUUGCGCUAAUGCGGGAAACCGUGACGCAGCGACGCCGCGUGAGGGAAGAAGGCCUUCGGGUUGUAAACCUCUUUCAGGAGGGACGAAGCUACUCGGGUUAAUAGCCCAGAGGGUGACGGUACCUCCAGAAGAAGCCCCGGCUAACUACGUGCCAGCCGCCGCGGUAAUAC